This 465-nucleotide ribosomal RNA is filed under the name uncultured bacterium. RNAcentral describes it as "partial 16S ribosomal RNA". It matches the Rfam family "Bacterial small subunit ribosomal RNA", at positions 28 to 507 of the family's 1533-position model. The record is from RNAcentral.
GACGAACGCUGGCGGCGUGCUUAACACAUGCAAGUCGAACGGAAAGGCCCUGCUUUCAGUGUACUCGAGUGGCGAACGGGUGAGUAACACAUGGGUGAUCUGCCCUGCACUUCGGGAUAAGCCUGGUAAACUGGGUCUAAUACCGGAUAGGAGCCAUCUUUAGUGUGAUGGUUGGAAAGUUUUUUCGGUGUUGGAUGAGCUCGCGGCCUAUCGGCUCGUUGGGGGGGUAAUGGCCUACCAAGGCGGCGACGGGUAGCCGGACUGAGAGGGUGGACGGCCACAUUGGGACUGAGAGAAGGCACAGACGCCGACGGGAGGCAGAAGGGGGGAAGAUUGAACAAGGGGCGCCAGCCUGAUGAAGAGAGGCCGCGGGGGGGAUGACGGCCUUCGGGGUGUAAAAUCAUUUCGCUAGGGACGAAGCUUUUUGUGACGGUACCUAGAUAAGAAGCACCGGCUAACUACGUG